CAGAGUAUUCUUACUCCCAAACCCUUUGUGAACCUUACCUAUCGUUGCUUCGGCGGGAUCGCCCCGGGCCGCCCCUUCACGGGGGCCUCCGGAACCAGGCGCCCGCCGGAGAACCCAAACUCUUGUUUUAUAUGGUUUUCUCCUCUGAGUGGAUUAUAAACAAAUAAAUCA
Molecule: unclassified non-coding RNA, 171 nt
Filed under: uncultured Ascomycota
Lineage: Eukaryota; Fungi; Ascomycota
Description: sequence contains ITS1
Source: RNAcentral